RNAcentral lists this ribosomal RNA (253 nucleotides) under uncultured bacterium. RNAcentral describes it as "partial 16S ribosomal RNA". It matches the Rfam family "Bacterial small subunit ribosomal RNA", at positions 524 to 776 of the family's 1533-position model. The record is from RNAcentral.
UACGGGGGGGGCAAGCGUUGUUCGGAAUUACUGGGCGUAAAGGGCUCGUAGGCGGCCAACUAAGUCAGACGUGAAAUCCCUCGGCUUAACCGGGGAACUGCGUCUGAUACUGGAUGGCUUGAGUUUGGGAGAGGGAUGCGGAAUUCCAGGUGUAGCGGUGAAAUGCGUAGAUAUCGGGAGGAACACCAGUGGCGAAGGCGGCUUUCUGGCCUGUUCUUGACGCUGAGGCGCGAAAGCUAGGGUAGCAAACGGG